AGAACUUAGCAGAGAUGCUUUGGUCCUUCGGGAACUCUGAGACAGGUGCUGCAUGGCUGUCGUCAGCUCGUGUUGUGAAAUGUUGGGUUAAGUCCCGCAACGAGCGCAACCCUUAUCCUUUGUUGCCAGCGGUCCGGCCGGGAACUCAAAGGAGACUGCCAGUGAUAAACUGGAGGAAGGUGGGGAUGACGUCAAGUCAUCAUGGCCCUUACGAGUAGGGCUACACACGUGCUGCAAUGGCGCAUACAAAGAGAAGCGACCUCGCGAGAGCAAGCGGACCUCAUAAAGUGCGUCGUAGUCCGGAUUGGAGUCUGCAACUCGACUCCAUGAAGUCGGAAUCGCUAGUAAUCGUAGAUCAGAAUGCUACGGUGAAUACGUUCCCGGGCCUUGUACACACCGCCCGUCACACCAUGGGAGUGGGUUGCAAAAGAAGUAGGUAGCUUAACCUUCGGGAGGGCGCUUACCACUUUGUGAUUCAUGACUGGGGUGAAGUCGUAACAAGGUAAGCGUAGCGAG
This 516-nucleotide ribosomal RNA is filed under the name uncultured bacterium. RNAcentral describes it as "bacterial SSU rRNA". It matches the Rfam family "Bacterial small subunit ribosomal RNA", at positions 992 to 1509 of the family's 1533-position model. The record is from RNAcentral.